AGUCAAGUCUCCCGACUCUGGUCGCGUCUAGACCCCUGGGGAGGCUCCAUGGAGGAGAGCCUGCUGGAGAGGGAGCAUACUCUAGCAGUGGUUCUACCAGGAGGCCUGGAGAAAAUGGCCACGGUGCAUGGGAGGUAAGAGGCAUACAGACAGAAUGUUUUGUUGGAGCCAUACGAAAUCAUACUGUGUAUUUGAAAUGGAUUGACUGAGUACGAAAAAGGUAUGAAAAUGUAUGCAGUGUGUUACAGUGUGUUUUGUAGCCUUAAAGCGAGUUUACCCAGGAUUGGAUCCACUCUGUGCGUCUGUGGACUACAACUCUCCGUUGGUUUUCGUGGCCUUUUCUCCGCUGGAGAUCUGUUGGCGGAUUGUCUGACUGACCGACUGACUACAACUUUUUGUACACGGUAUUUCAUUUGUUUGGGGUGAUGUAUACUGUGAUUUAUGUAGUUGUGAGGACAUUAUUAUUUGGUUAGUCUUUGAUACGCUUUAUAGUUGUGUUGCAAAAUAAGUGUUAUUUUGAGUGUAUGAAUAUACUGUGUUUACGCUACGGACAAACGUUGCGUGACUAAGGUCACUUGAGUCACUGAACUUGUUUACCGGGCUGGACUCUUUUUAUGCCCGAGGUACAGGACAUUUCUAAAUGAACAUAAGUGCAUUAAUUGUUAUAUUGUUGUGUGUGAUCAUUUAUGUUGUUAAUACAACCACGCAAAAUAAUGCACUUGUUUGAAGUUCUUUCCAAUGUUUUACGGGGUUUAUGAGAAGUAUAUUUCCAUCCUUUUACAUAAGUCCUUUGUAUUGGUGUGACUUGACGGACCAGAUGGGACUCAUUCCCUCCCAAACUAAAAGGAGAAACCAAUGCUUUCUCUGGUAGGCUCAACCUACCUGGCACCCCUAGAAAUAACCUCAAGUCAAAACCGUUACAGUACGUGUCAGAGGUAAAUACUAACAAAAUGCAUCUGUACACACUAGCCAAUCUCCAACCUAGGUCAGUUUAUGUACUGAAGGGAUACUGUUUCCUAUAGGUCACUGUACGUCUGCUAAUCAAUUACAAGAAGAACCAUAAGGCUGUUGUGAGGGUCAACCCUAGAGUCCCUCUGGAGCAGCUCCUGCCUGCAGUGUGUGUGAGUUUGACCUGGAGUCCACCAUUUUACUGAGAGCCAACGACUCUGAAGGACCUUUAAACCUGAGCAGGUCCCUCGAUGACUAAGGGAACUAUACGCCAGGGACAUGGCAGCUGUCAGUCCUGAAGUGGUUAUCACACUACCUCCCCCCUAAGGGAAUGGACAGUCACUUCACACACUUAAGGAGAAGAUGGGAGAGUGUGAGGGGGACCUGGACUCCCCAUCCUCAUCCCCAAACAUCUCCAGCCCUUUGGUUCAGCCUCAGCCUCGAGUGCCCCCCACUCCCCCUUCUACCCCCUUCACUACCUCUCGUCCCUCUAGCAGAUUUCUACCCUCCAAUCCCUACCACCCCUCUCCUCGCUGCCUUCCCUCCCCUCCCACCCUAGGGGAGAUACUAACCCCUUUCCUGCCUUGUCAAACCCGGGCCAACCUCAAGCAUCCUUCGUUCCCAACCCCAAGACCCGUCAACUCCACCAAUGGAGGCUCACCUGGGUUCUUGACACAGUCGGGUGGAAGUAAGGGACUCAGUCCCCUCUUUACUCCAACUCAAGACCAAGGCCCCUGGUGAGGCUUUGAGGAGUCCUGAUAUGAUGGAGGGGAUGACCCCAUUUACUGUGGUGACCCUAGGGCAGUCCCUGACGGAGCAGAAAGUCUUGGAGGUGGACCUGACCCAGGCCUUAGACCCAGCACAAACCAUUGAUGAACCCUCCAAUGGUGUUGCUGAACCUGGGUUGGAGCACCACCAGACAAGGAAGAAGACACCGGUAUCACUGGAGAGGUUGAGGGAUCCACCCCAGAGCCUGAUAUAGAUUAUAAACUUUCUCCUCCAGGGUUUCCAGAAGGUUCUACUGACUUGGUCUUCAGUCCUCCAACCGUGUCUAGUCCUAGCGAGCUUUACCAGACCGCACCAAAUUCACCAGUGGUAGUCAAGCAGGAGAGUUCAGAGAUCGAGGCCCACGAGGAGUCCGAAUCACCCACAGACAGUCUAGAUUCAGAACUAGAGAAAAGUCUAGAGGUAGAAGUCCCAGAGGAGUCAGAUUCACUCUCAGAGAUACCCAACCCAUACGCAGCUGACCUGUUGGCCCACACCAAUGGAAUACCUGGAGAUGAGGUGACCUCAACUACUACAGAGCAGGGGAUUGUUCUGGAAGUCCAGUCUUGUGAUAGAGACAGAAGAGGACCGUUUCUGUUUCCCUCCUCCCCCUGCCUCUGUGUGCUAUGAUAAGGAGGUGGAGGAGACGGAGCCGACACAGUUACGCGUGAGGCCUCCUGGGGGAAGAAAUCACCGUCCUCCCUCUUAUCCUCCCCCUUCUCUUCCUACGCUGAGUCAUACCAUCUGUGAAUCAGCGGAGGGAGACAAUCGGACUGAUGCCUCUUCUUCACCCAAACCGAACAUGAUUCAUUUGACUUCACCCAAACCAUACGUGCCUGCAGCCCUGGCCAGGAAAACUGCCAUCCCCUCCUGCUUUACCCAGACUGUGGCUCUAGCCGUCCGUAAGUCCCAGUCCUCCUGUCCCCGAAGGCCAGCACCAGACUUGCUUUCCUCCCUCUCCGGCUCCUCACGCUCCACUGCUUUACUGCUAACCAAUGAGGGGCCAUAAUGGCUUCAUAGUAAAUCUGUGAAAUGGAAGUUCCUGUUUAGGGUGAGGCAACUGCAGUGAAGUAGAGCCGGCCACCACAUAGUCACAUCCAAAUGGACCCCACUUAGAGGUCGACUGACAAAUUCCAAAGAAGUCCAGGCCACUGUUUUGCACUGGGAGUCAGCACGUUACAUAAACAACAUUUAUCCUAGACUUCAUCCAAGAGUUUGAUUAGUGUACAGGUCAUUUUAUGUUCACUGAAUAUUUGUAUAAAUGCUACCUGAAUUAAUUGGAGGCAGUGCUGCCUUUACUUAUGUUAUUAAGAUAUUUGACUAUUAUGCGAAGAAGUAUUUAUUUGACCUUGGUAGUACAGUAUUUAUGGGAUCUACAUUUUUGUACUUGGAGUCUCAUUAGUGUUGAAAUGUGCCAAAACCGAGAUUAAAUAAUACGUCAUCUCUCCUCAUUAUCUCUUUUUGUUUGUCAAGGACAGAACUCUGAAAUAAGAUGACUUAAAAUGUUACAUUUCAUUCUGUACAUGUCACACCUUUCUGAGUGAAUUAUUCUCUAGAUUAUUUUCCAGACAUGUAUCAUUACUAUAAGUAAAUGAUACGCCAUAAUCAACUAGUGUGUUGCUUUCUUUUGCCACCGGAGGGCAGGAGCACACUUCACAAAUAUCUCAUGUACAGAACCACUGAGUGAGCUGUUUUGUGAUCCACACUUGAUCAAUUAUUAGCAUUGACAUAUCCAGAUAUUAAAGAAGAGCAUCAAUUAUCAUUCAUCUUCUUUGUCUUUACUGGUUGUACUUUUUUAUAAUGCAUUAGUGUGUUUUAUUUCAGGCCUUGUUAUCUUGUCCAUUAUUGAGUUAUGGUUGGUAUUUCACAAGGAUAUUCUACAGGGUGCCAUGUUUAGAACAUUGCAGGAAGAUAAGUAAUA
Long non-coding RNA from Salvelinus fontinalis (brook trout), 3634 nucleotides. RefSeq lists it as uncharacterized. The record is from RefSeq and is a predicted model, not a curated record. Lineage: Eukaryota; Metazoa; Chordata; Actinopteri; Salmoniformes; Salmonidae. The transcript has 4 exons.